UACAGAGGGUGCAAGCGUUGUUCGGAAUUACUGGGCGUAAAGGGCGUGUAGGCGGCUUAGCAAGUCAGAUGUGAAAUCCCGGGGCUUAACUUCGGAAGUGCAUUUGAAACUGCUAGGCUAGAGUGAAGUAGAGGUUGGUGGAAUUCCCAGUGUAGAGGUGAAAUUCGUAGAUAUUGGGAGGAACACCGGUAGCGAAGGCGGCCAACUGGGCUUUAACUGACGCUGAGGCGCGAAAGCGUGGGGAGCAAACAGG
This 253-nucleotide ribosomal RNA is filed under the name uncultured bacterium. RNAcentral's name for it is "partial 16S ribosomal RNA". It matches the Rfam family "Bacterial small subunit ribosomal RNA", at positions 524 to 776 of the family's 1533-position model. The record is from RNAcentral.